UAGGUUAUGGAGGCAUUGCCUGCCCAGUGACAACUGUUUAACGGCCGCGGUAUCCUGACCGUGCAAAGGUAGCAUAAUCAUUUGUUCUCUAAAUAAGGACUUGUAUGAAUGGCCGCACGAGGGUUUUACUGUCUCUUACUUCCAAUCAGUGAAAUUGACCUUCCCGUGAAGAGGCGGGAAUGCACAAAUAAGACGAGAAGACCCUAUGGAGCUUUAACUAACCAACCCAAAGAGAAUAGAUUUAACCAUUAAGGAAUAACAACAAUCUCCAUGAGUUGGUAGUUUCGGUUGGGGUGACCUCGGAGAAUAAAAAAUCCUCCGAGCGAUUUUAAAGACUAGACCCACAAGUCAAAUCACUCUAUCGCUCAUUGAUCCAAAAACUUGAUCAACGGAACAAGUUACCCUAGGGAUAACAGCGCAAUCCUAUUCAAGAGUCCAUAUCGACAAUAGGGUUUACGACCUCGAUGUUGGAUCAGGACAUCCUGAUGGUGCAACCGCUAUCAAAGGUUCGUUUGUUCAACGAUUAAAGUCCUACGUGAUCUGAGUUCAGACCGG
This 555-nucleotide ribosomal RNA is filed under the name Phascolosoma esculenta. Its description in RNAcentral is "partial 16S ribosomal RNA". It matches the Rfam family "Bacterial large subunit ribosomal RNA", at positions 1840 to 2619 of the family's 2925-position model. The record is from RNAcentral. Lineage: Eukaryota; Metazoa; Annelida; Sipuncula; Phascolosomatiformes; Phascolosomatidae.